AAGUCGUAACAAGGUUUCCGUAGGUGAACCUGCGGAAGGAUCAUCAACAAAUCCAAAAACCUUUUCUGGUUUAAAACACCGUGUGAACUGUACUCAUGAAUGUGGUCUCUCUUCAUUCCUUUGCGGAUGAGUUGGGUUGUACCCCUCGGUUCGGGACGAAUCCAAUCCUGAAAGGUUACUGUUUCUUCGGGAGACAGGCUACUUUCCGCGGAGGGGCCAUGUUCGCGUUUUUAUUUCUACCCCUUGAUUUCCUAUUGGACUGAUUGUUUUUGUUAUAAUUUUGCUCUCUUUUACGAGGGAGUGGAAUUUUAAAUUUAAUCACAAAACAACUUUUAACAAUGGAUCUCUUGGUUCUC
Molecule: unclassified non-coding RNA, 356 nt
Filed under: fungal sp.
Lineage: Eukaryota; Fungi
Description: partial internal transcribed spacer region
Rfam family: Eukaryotic small subunit ribosomal RNA (bases 1-46)
Source: RNAcentral